GUUAAAGCCUGUAAGACAGAUAGGUGUUAAAGACCUUGCCUCUGAAAGUCUCAGUGACCUUAAAGAAGUGCAAAGCCAAGGACGAGGCGUUGUCAUGAGAAGAACGACAUCCAGGAAAGUCCGUUCAGGAGGCCAGCCCGGUCUCGUGCAUCCAAAGAGCAGCCAGAUACUUAGCUGCCCAUCCAAAACAAUAAAAUCACUUCUAAACUACAAAACCAAAGGUUUUGCAGACAAAGAUGGGGUACUAAGCCAGUCUUGCCCUGGACAGCUGCAGAUUGCAACCGUAGUGGAGCUGCAAGAUGAGAGUGGCUUGAAGCUGAUGAACAGGCAGCCAGGCUUGUCUCAUGCCAAACCAAAAUCGUCCCGUCCCUUGUUAGUGCAAAAGGCUCCAGUAAUGGUGAAUUUGAAAGAAGAAAGCACACAAAGAAUCAGAAACAGUCAGUAUCUGAAGAAACCAACUAAAAUUAAAAUCAGACCAGACAGCAUGCCCUUGUGCCUCUUUUCGAAACUGGAAGAACCUGACUACUCAGGUCUGUUUGCAUUGCCUGCUGAGUUUCUGCAGUGCUGCACACACGGAUGCCCUGGGCAGCCCUCGGCCCAACUGGGUCUGUCACCCAGAGCAUUUGCAGAGGCCAUGCAUCAUGGAGGGGAGAGCCCCGUGGAGCUUUGGAGAAAGAGGUCUUCUGGGAAGUCUGCGCCGGGCAAGAGCAGCAUGGCAAAUCUGGUGCCCCAGGGUGUUGAAGAGCACAGGCAACCUUUGACAAGAAAAGGGAGCCAAGACUAUGUAUAUUCCAGCGGCGCUGUGAGCCGGGAGGACGGUACAUGGGCACUGUGCCACAUCCAGGGAUUCCAGUCCCCAGGCAGAGCGUUUCCGCUAUCCAAAGAGGAAUUUGAAGAUGACCCUUCCUACAAACUGCCGCCGCCUCCGCCUCCUUCUCCGUGCCUACAGGAGGACUAUAAUGAGAUUUCUUCAGGGGGAAACCCCUGCCUUUGAAGGACACAGCAAUCAAGACAGUCUUCUCCAUUAACCCUUCAUCAAACAAUGGCUGAGGGAACCUGUCCUGACACUGGCCUGCUCCUGUCUCAGCUCCUGUCUCGCCUUGUGUUUAGGCCCCUUCCACUGUGUUUCCCUUGCCACAGGGCAGGUGACGGAAGUGGCCCGGCAGUUUCUGCAGUCUGUAAACAUUUGGGACAGGUACAAAUCUCUGAGUUCUGAAAAUUAAAGAAGAGCUUCUCACCCCCUCUCCUGUUUCUGUGCUGCGCGUUGGCUUCCAAAGAGGAGCUAGUCUGUUGAGCAGCUCGAAUACGCGCCAUGGCCUGGCUGUAGCUGCCUUAAUAUCCUGUGUCAAGAAAAUCGCAUUUACCCACCCGCUCCAUAGGGCAGACUGGCACAGUAGG
RNAcentral lists this long non-coding RNA (1398 nucleotides) under Struthio camelus australis. RNAcentral describes it as "lncRNA (ENSSCUG00000001328.1)". The record is from RNAcentral. Lineage: Eukaryota; Metazoa; Chordata; Aves; Struthioniformes; Struthionidae.